This 2930-nucleotide ribosomal RNA is filed under the name Enterobacter cloacae. RNAcentral's name for it is "bacterial LSU rRNA". It matches the Rfam family "Bacterial large subunit ribosomal RNA". Lineage: Bacteria; Pseudomonadati; Pseudomonadota; Gammaproteobacteria; Enterobacterales; Enterobacteriaceae. The record is from RNAcentral.
GGGUUGUGAGGUUAAGCGACUAAGCGUACACGGUGGAUGCCCUGGCAGUCAGAGGCGAUGAAGGACGUGCUAAUCUGCGAAAAGCGCCGGCGAGGUGAUAUGAACCUUUGACCCGGUGAUGUCCGAAUGGGGAAACCCAGUGCAAUCCGUUGCACUAUCGUUAACUGAAUACAUAGGUUAACGAGGCGAACCGGGGGAACUGAAACAUCUAAGUACCCCGAGGAAAAGAAAUCAACCGAGAUUCCCCCAGUAGCGGCGAGCGAACGGGGAGCAGCCCGGGAGUCUGAAUCAGCUUGUGUGUUAGUGGAACGGUCUGGAAAGUCCGACGGUACAGGGUGAUAGUCCCGUACACGAAAAUGCACAUGCUGUGAACUCGAAGAGUAGGGCGGGACACGUGGUAUCCUGUCUGAAUAUGGGGGGACCAUCCUCCAAGGCUAAAUACUCCUGACUGACCGAUAGUGAACCAGUACCGUGAGGAAAGGCGAAAAGAACCCCGGCGAGGGGAGUGAAAAAGAACCUGAAACCGUGUACGUACAAGCAGUGGGAGCCUCUUUAUGGGGUGACUGCGUACCUUUUGUAUAAUGGGUCAGCGACUUAUAUUCUGUAGCAAGGUUAACCGUAUAGGGGAGCCGAAGGGAAACCGAGUCUUAACUGGGCGUUAAGUUGCAGGGUAUAGACCCGAAACCCGGUGAUCUAGCCAUGGGCAGGUUGAAGGUUGGGUAACACUAACUGGAGGACCGAACCGACUAAUGUUGAAAAAUUAGCGGAUGACCUGUGGCUGGGGGUGAAAGGCCAAUCAAACCGGGAGAUAGCUGGUUCUCCCCGAAAGCUAUUUAGGUAGCGCCUCGUGAACUCAUCUUCGGGGGUAGAGCACUGUUUCGGCUAGGGGGCCAUCCCGGCUUACCAACCCGAUGCAAACUACGAAUACCGAAGAAUGUUAUCACGGGAGACACACGGCGGGUGCUAACGUCCGUCGUGAAGAGGAAACAACCCAGACCGCCAGCUAAGGUCCCAAAGUCAUGGUUAAGUGGGAAACGAUGUGGGAAGGCACAGACAGCCAGGAUGUUGGCUUAGAAGCAGCCAUCAUUUAAAGAAAGCGUAAUAGCUCACUGGUCGAGUCGGCCUGCGCGGAAGAUGUAACGGGGCUAAACCAUGCACCGAAGCUGCGGCAGCGACACUAUGUGUUGUUGGGUAGGGGAGCGUUCUGUAAGCCGUUGAAGGUGUGCUGUGAGGCAUGCUGGAGGUAUCAGAAGUGCGAAUGCUGACAUAAGUAACGAUAAAGCGGGUGAAAAGCCCGCUCGCCGGAAGACCAAGGGUUCCUGUCCAACGUUAAUCGGGGCAGGGUGAGUCGACCCCUAAGGCGAGGCCGAAAGGCGUAGUCGAUGGGAAACAGGUUAAUAUUCCUGUACUUGGUGUUACUGCGAAGGGGGGACGGAGAAGGCUAUGUCAGCCGGGCGACGGUUGUCCCGGUUUAAGCAUGUAGGCGGAGGUUCCAGGUAAAUCCGGUACCUUAUUAACGCUGAGGUGUGAUGACGAGGCACUACGGUGCUGAAGUGAUAAAUGCCCUGCUUCCGGAAAAGCCUCUAAGCAUCAGGUAACACGAAAUCGUACCCCAAACCGACACAGGUGGUCAGGUAGAGAAUACCAAGGCGCUUGAGAGAACUCGGGUGAAGGAACUAGGCAAAAUGGUGCCGUAACUUCGGGAGAAGGCACGCUGAUAUGUAGGUGAAGCCCCUGCGGGCGGAGCUGAAAUCAGUCGAAGAUACCAGCUGGCUGCAACUGUUUAUUAAAAACACAGCACUGUGCAAACACGAAAGUGGACGUAUACGGUGUGACGCCUGCCCGGUGCCGGAAGGUUAAUUGAUGGGGUUAGCGGCAACGCGAAGCUCUUGAUCGAAGCCCCGGUAAACGGCGGCCGUAACUAUAACGGUCCUAAGGUAGCGAAAUUCCUUGUCGGGUAAGUUCCGACCUGCACGAAUGGCGUAAUGAUGGCCAGGCUGUCUCCACCCGAGACUCAGUGAAAUUGAACUCGCUGUGAAGAUGCAGUGUACCCGCGGCAAGACGGAAAGACCCCGUGAACCUUUACUAUAGCUUGACACUGAACACUGGUCCUUGAUGUGUAGGAUAGGUGGGAGGCUUUGAAGCGUGGACGCCAGUCUGCGUGGAGCCAACCUUGAAAUACCACCCUUUAAUGGCUGGUGUUCUAACGUAGACCCGUAAUCCGGGUUGCGGACAGUGUCUGGUGGGUAGUUUGACUGGGGCGGUCUCCUCCCAAAGAGUAACGGAGGAGCACGAAGGUUGGCUAAUCCUGGUCGGACAUCAGGAGGUUAGUGCAAUGGCAUAAGCCAGCUUGACUGCGAGCGUGACGGCGCGAGCAGGUGCGAAAGCAGGUCAUAGUGAUCCGGUGGUUCUGAAUGGAAGGGCCAUCGCUCAACGGAUAAAAGGUACUCCGGGGAUAACAGGCUGAUACCGCCCAAGAGUUCAUAUCGACGGCGGUGUUUGGCACCUCGAUGUCGGCUCAUCACAUCCUGGGGCUGAAGUAGGUCCCAAGGGUAUGGCUGUUCGCCAUUUAAAGUGGUACGCGAGCUGGGUUUAGAACGUCGUGAGACAGUUCGGUCCCUAUCUGCCGUGGGCGCUGGAGAAUUGAGGGGGGCUGCUCCUAGUACGAGAGGACCGGAGUGGACGCAUCACUGGUGUUCGGGUUGUCAUGCCAAUGGCACUGCCCGGUAGCUAAAUGCGGAAGAGAUAAGUGCUGAAAGCAUCUAAGCACGAAACUUGCCCCGAGAUGAGUUCUCCCUGAGACUUUAAGUCUCCUGAAGGAACGUUGAAGACGACGACGUUGAUAGGUCGGGUGUGUAAGCGCAGCGAUGCGUUGAGCUAACCGAUACUAAUGAACCGUGAGGCUUAACCUUACAACGCCGAAGGUGUUU